This 5397-nucleotide unclassified non-coding RNA is filed under the name Mizuhopecten yessoensis (Yesso scallop). Its description in RNAcentral is "regulator of microtubule dynamics protein 1-like, transcript variant X1". The record is from RNAcentral. Lineage: Eukaryota; Metazoa; Mollusca; Bivalvia; Pectinida; Pectinidae.
GUUAUAAGAGUCUGCUGUGGUGGUGGUACGUAGGGCUACAAUUUUUAGACCCUCUGUAGUUUCGUUUCGUUUUUGGCUCUUCAGUUUCAGAAUGUCCUCCUUUCUGCGACCCAAUUCACCCUUCUUUGGUGCUCUGGGGACAGGUAUAUUCAUUGGAUUAGGUGGAACAAUUCUUUACUUGAAAAUAACUGGGACAUUUCUCCGCGAAAUCCAGCGGCUGUCUGCGUCCAUCAGUGAACUGAAACAAGAGGUGAAAGCACUCCAGCAACAGCUGGAAUCUGUAAAGAAGCGUCGACGUAGUCCAGGGUUCUAUUCUGUUCACGCUAGCAGUGGGGACGACGACGAUGAAAUGUUUGAAGACGCAUAUGGAGGGUCAGGAACUGUUAGUUCGCCAAGUGAUCCAGAGUUUGUAGAGUCCUUUCGGGAAUUAAAUGCGGAGGAUAUUGCACCAGGGCAGACAAAUAGACAACAGUCAGUCGAUGAACAGAAAGUCCAAGUUUACGAGCAAGUAGAUCAGCUUCUGGAGGGGGGAGAUGAUGACAAACAAAAUGCCUACACUCUUCUCCUUAAACACAAAUCACAGUUUCUGGGGGAUGCUGACUACCACUGGCGCCUGUCUAAGUGUACGUACCAGGUGGCCCAGAUAGAAGGCAGUGUAGGCAAUGAAGAUAAGAAAAAGGAAAUGGUGUACAGUGCAAAGGACAGUGCAGCCCAGGCCCUGACACUCAACGAAGAUUGUGCCAGUGCCCAUAAAUGGUUUGCAAUUACUGUGGGUAGCAUUGGAGAUUAUGAAGGAACACAGGCAAAAAUAAAAAAUGGAUAUGUAUUCAAGGAACAUAUUGAGCGAGCUAUACAAAUCAAGCCGGAUGAUCCCUCUAGUCACCACCUCCUGGGCCGUUGGUGUUUCGGAGUGUACAUGUUGUCCUGGAUUGAGAGGAAGGCAGCUGCUGCCCUCUAUGCUGCACCACCUACAUCAACCGCUGAUGAGGCUUUACUCAACUUUCAAGAGGCAGAACGACUGAACCCUGGAAAAUGGAAAGAAAAUAUGUUAUUUAUUGCAAAGUGCUACAUAGAACUAAGAAACUAUGUACAGGCUGUUGUCUGGUUAGAAAAGGCCGUCACCAUCCCAGUAGUUAGUCUAGAUGACAAAACCUCUCAGGUAGAAGUGGAGACAUUGCUGGCCAAGUACAGGCAAUAGUCCCAGCAUUCCAAAGUCUGCUGUACGAGAAGUAUGACAAGCAAGGACUCCAGGAUUUUUUGUUUGGCGGAUGACAAUACUGGUGUAGUUAGUAAAACAAUUAUGAAAUGCUCCUAGAUCAAACCUCUUACACAGUAUUUUGCUACAACAUUAGACUGUUUUAUGUGUUAAAGUUCUGGUGAUCUUCGCUUAAACUACAUGGUAUAGGCUUUACCAACGUGGUAUAGGCUUCACCUUCAUGGUAUAGGCUUCACCUACAUGGUAUAGGCUUCACCAACGUGGUAUAGGCUUCACCUUUGUGGUAUAGGCUUCACCUACAUGGUAAAGGCAUUACCUACAUGGUAUAGGCUUCACCUACAUGUUAUAAACUUCACCAACGUGGUAUAGGCUUCACCUUCAGGGUAUAAACUUUACCUACAUGGUAAAGGCAUUACCUACAUGGUAUAGGCUUCACCUUUGUGGUAUAGGCUUCAACUACAUGGUAAAGGCUUCACCCAUCUGGUAUAGGCUUCUCCUUCAUGGUAUAAAUUUUACAUACAUGGUAAAGGCAUUAUCUACAUGGUAUAGGCUUCACCUACUUGGUAUAAACUUUACCUACAUGGUAUAGGCUUCACCUUCAUGGUAUAGGAUUCACAUUUGUGGUAUAACAUUUUCUUACAUGGUAUAGCCUUCAUUUGUGUGGUAUAGGCUUAACCUUUGUGGUAUAUGCUUCACCUACAUGGUAUAAACUUUACCUACAUAAUAUAGACUCCAUUUAUCUAGGCUUCACCAACGUGGUAUAGGCAUCACCUUCAUGGUAUAGGCUUCAUUUACCUAGGCUUCACCAACUUGGUAGUAGGCCACACCUAUUCUUAUUAGAUCAAAGAUGGUCACUGCUGGUAAUCACCUUGUUUGAUAUGGCACAAAAUUGGCACAAAGUUCACCAGAACUUCAACCUCAUACCUGGAAGACUAACUGUUGCAGUAACAUGUUUAUGUAACUAUUGUUAUGAUUAAACAAAAUUCUGUAUAUCAAUCCAUCACUCCUGGUUACAGAACAUAUUUGACAUAUUUUGGGAUUACCAAAUUCCUUUCGAACAUUUUGCUCAAAUUUGGAAUUGACUUGCACAUGUACCACUACAUGCUAAAUUGAUUUUUUUGUACAGUAUGUCUAUAAUAUUCAGGCCAUAAACUACGCAUCUUAGCAAUCAAGUCCAUUAUACAUUGUUCAGUUAUACACGUUAAUUAUUUUUGGUCCGUUUCAAAUGUCUCAAACAGUCAUUUCUUGCCUUGAUAAAUUUACCUGUGAACAAAAUAUUGAUUGAAUGCUUUUAUUCAUCAAUUUGCUUCUAAUUAAAUUUGAAAUAAAAUUUGUUACUAUUAUAUGUGAAAUUGAUAAAACGUAUUGUUCUCCUAACUGUGGCUUGUUUCCUCACCAUUAUGGAUCAAUUUGAUGCCAUUUACCUGUUAAGACCUCAAUUGUACCUCUUAUUUUCAUGAAUUUGUUGCAAGAAAUAUGUGGAAAUGUUAAAAUGGUUGAAUGGGAACAAAUUGUUCAUAUCAAAUGAUUGCAUGUUUUAUUAAUUAGUACAGUAAUAAUAAAAACUGUGUACAUUGUAAUUAAGGAUCGCUGUCCAACUGCUAUAUGCAUUAAUCUCCGGGAUCCCUUUCAUUUUAUUUCGGAUAAAACAGCUGGGCCAGGACACUCCGUUGAUUUGGUAGCUCAGUUGAUGAGAGCGAUAGUAUACAGUCUGAAGCACAGAUUCAGUUCUAGCCUAGCUGAUUUUUUUCACUAAGAACACUGUUCACCCUUAUUAUUUUUUCAUAGUCAUGCAAAGUAUAGUUUUCUUUUCAGGAAUGAUUUAUCAAAGGUAGUCAUUCCCCCCCAAAAAAAUAAAAAAAUCCAAUGCAUAUUUACAAGGCAGUGGUACAGGGAUCUUUAUAUGAGAACCAUGAGCGUUUUGUGUUACUUGUUCGAGCAAUGAGCCAUGUUCAGUAUAUAUACAUUGUAUGUGUUCGAAGUGAGAAAUAUGUGUGUUAUAUAGUAAUGAGAAUUAUGUAGGGUUUAUGUCUUAAGUGUGAGAUCUUUGUAUAUCUGUUCGAAGUGAGAACUAUGUAUGUUAUAUAUAGUAGUGAGAAUUAUGUAGGCUCUCUGUGUUAAGUGUGAGAUCUUUGUACAUCUGUUAGAAGUGAGAACUAGGUAUAUUAUAUAGUAAUGAAAAUUAUGUAGGUUUCAUGUCUUAAGUGUGAGAUCUUUGUAUAUCUGUUUGAAGUGAGAACUAUGUAUGUUAUAUAUAGUAGUUAGAAUUAUGUAGGCUCUCUGUGUUAAGUGUGAGAUCUUUGUACAUCUGUUAGAAGUGAGAACUAUGUAUGUUAUAUAGUAAUGAGAAUUAUGUAUGUUCUUUGUGAUAGGUGUGAGAUCUUUGUACAUCUGUUAGAAGUGAGAACUAUGUAUGUUAUAUAGUAAUGAGAAUUAUGUAGGUUUUACCGGGGUAUGUGUUAAAAAUGAGAUCUUUGUACAUCUGUUAGAAGUGAGAACUAUGUAUAUUAUAUAGUAGUGAAAAUUAUGUAGGUUUUACCGGGGUAUGUGUUAAAAAUGAGAUCUUUGUACAUCUGUUAGAAGUGAGAACUAUGUUUAUUAUUUAGUAAUGAGAAUUAUGUAGGUUUUAUGUCUUAAGUGUGAGAUCUUUGUAUAUCUGUUCGAAGUGAGAACUAUGUAUGUUAUAUAUAGUAGUUAGAAUUAUGUAGGCUCUCUGUGUUAAGUGUGAGAUCUUUGUACAUCUGUUAGAAGUGAGAACUAGGUAUAUUAUAUAAUAGUGAGAAUUAUGUAGGUUUUAAUGUCUUAAGUGCGAGAUCUUUGUAUAUCUGUUUGAAGUGAGAACUAUGUAUGUUAUAUAGUAGUGAGAAUUAUGUAGGUUUUAUGUCUUAAGUGUGAGAUCUUUGUAUAUUUGUUUUGAAGUGAGAACUAUGUAUAUUAUAUAGUAGUGAGAAUUAUGUAGGUUUUAUGUCUUAAGUGUGAGAUCUUUGUAUAUUUGUUUUGAAGUGAGAACUAUGUAUAUUAUAUAGUAGUGAGAAUUAUGUAGGUUUUAUGUCUUAAGUGUGAGAUCUUUGUAUAUUUGUUUUGAAGUGAGAACUAUGUAUAUUAUAUAGUAGUGAGAAUUAUGUAGGUUUUAUGUCUUAAGUGUGAGAUCUUUGUAUAUUUGUUUUGAAGUGAGAACUAUGUAUAUUAUAUAGUAGUGAGAAUUAUGUAGGUUUUAUGUCUUAAGUGUGAGAUCUUUGUAUAUUUGUUUUGAAGUGAGAACUAUGUAUAUUAUAUAUAGUAGUGAGAAUUAUGUAGGCUCUCUGUCUUAAGUGUGAGAUUUUUGUACAUCUGUUAGAAGUGAGAACUGUGUAUGUUAUAUAGUAGUGAGAAUUAUGUAGGUUUUACCGGGGUAUGUGUUAAAAAUGAGAUCUUUGUACAUCUGUUAGAAGUGAGAACUAUAUAGAUUUCAUAGUGUAUUAGAAUUGGAGGUGAUCAAUGAGAGAACCCAAUAUAGUAUGUCUGUGCCAUCAGAGCCAUACUUUAUUAUCUGGUUGGAUAUUCCAUUACCAGGUAUAUGUUUACUCUAUAGGACAACUAGAAAAUAUGUUCAACAGUUUGAAACUGCAUGUACAUUGCACACUUAUAUUAAAAAGAGGAAAAUGUUAAAAUAUAAAUGUAAUCAGGUAGAGAACAGGAUGUGUAAUUCCGUAAAGUCUCAGCAUGCUAUUUUGUAAAUUGUCAAUAGUGCAGGAUCCCUGAUUUACAAUAAGAUCAAUUGAUUGACAAACAUUAGUAUAAUAUUUCAAUAUUUAAGGAUUGAGAUGCAUCUAGUGUUAACUUUUAUGAUGGUAUGCAAUCAUUUAAAAAUAUUCCAUGAUGUGCAGUAACACUGUAAAAAUAUGUACUUACAAUGAAGAACACUAAAAUCUGUACUUCAUUGGAUAAACUUACAAUGUACUACAUGUACAUGGUAUAUAUAUAUUAUAAUGCACUACACUGUGCACUUACAAUGUAAUACACUAUAUAUAUACACCUACAAUGUGCUAUGUUAUACAUUUACAAUUCAUUUCAGUACAAUGCUUUACCAUUUAAAACAAGAGACCCAAGAGCUUUAGCGGUCACAUGAGUUAUAUCAUAGGUACUGGAAGCUUUAUUUUAUUGUUUAGAUGUGAUGUGGAAGGCAGCAUGUAAACUAAGUG